GGACGCAUUGACCUAUGAUGAUGUACAUGUGAACUUCACUCGAGAAGAAUGGGCUUUGCUGGAUGCUUCACAGAAGAGUCUCUAUAAAGAUGUGAUGCAGGAGACCUAUAGGAACCUCACUGCUAUAGGUUACAAUUGGGAAGACCAUAGUUUUGAAGAACAUUGUCAAAGUUUCAGAAGAUAUGGAAGGUAAUUUUCAUGUGCAAGUUGGUAUGAAUAUGCCUCUGAAGGCAUGUUAGUAUGUCCUGGAACUUUUAAAGAAACGCCACAGUGUAAAAAAAAAGCCCUUCUUUAAGUGUAUUGAGUAUUAAAUUCUCACAAAUCCAUGU
This 329-nucleotide long non-coding RNA is filed under the name Rattus norvegicus (Norway rat). Its description in RNAcentral is "long non-coding RNA NONRATT001920". The record is from RNAcentral. Lineage: Eukaryota; Metazoa; Chordata; Mammalia; Rodentia; Muridae.